AGCAGCCGCCGCGGUAAUACGAAGGGUGCAAGCGUUAAUCGGAAUUACUGGGCGUAAAGCGUGCGUAGGCGGUUUGUUAAGUCUGUUGUGAAAUCCCCGGGCUCAACCUGGGAAUGGCAAUGGAUACUGGCAAGCUAGAGUGUGUCAGAGGAUGGUGGAAUUCCCGGUGUAGCGGUGAAAUGCGUAGAGAUCGGGAGGAACAUCAGCGGCGAAGGCGGCCAUCUGGGACAACACUGACGCUGAGGCACGAAAGCGUGGGGAGCAAACAGGAUUAGAUACCCCUGUAGUCCCUGUCUCUUAUAC
RNAcentral lists this ribosomal RNA (303 nucleotides) under uncultured bacterium. Its description in RNAcentral is "partial 16S ribosomal RNA". It matches the Rfam family "Bacterial small subunit ribosomal RNA", at positions 507 to 807 of the family's 1533-position model. The record is from RNAcentral.